AUGAUUCAGAACUGGACUACGACGAUUCUAUUUUGUAUCGGUUGGUUUGUUCAUUUUGGCCGGCGUGCACUUGGCUUGGUAGGGUUACAUCAGCAGAGAGUACACAGGAGGAUUUAUUUAACUGUACUAAACAGUGGAGUUAGCAUAAAAAUAUUCAGGUCAUUGUUAUUUAAAUCAUGUGCGGCUGCCUGUUUCUCACAUGUUGUGCAUCGUCAGAGAUAUUGUUCAGGAACAGUAACUAGAUUAUCCAGGAUCAUGGGCCACUUCCAUAGCCUGGUUCUAGCUAGGCGCAUAUGUUCUCAAAAUUCAGAUAGCUAUACACUCUAUCUUGUGGAACUGUGCUUGUUUGCAAGUAAUCUUUGUCAAAAAUUAAACAGUAAAGUACAUGUUGAAGAUGUGGCAAAUGGGAGUCCACAUAAUUCGUUUCAAGUCCAUGUUCAAGGGAGAGUGAUUGUUUGA
Molecule: ribosomal RNA, 459 nt
Filed under: Triticum aestivum (bread wheat)
Lineage: Eukaryota; Viridiplantae; Streptophyta; Magnoliopsida; Poales; Poaceae
Description: partial small subunit ribosomal RNA
Source: RNAcentral